CUCGAGUUGGUGUAAUGGUGCAUCGCGGAUUGGCACUUGGGAGAGUAUUCCAAGCCCUUCAUCGGGGGUCGCAGGACCAGGUUCGAUUCCUGGACUCGGGA
Non-coding RNA from Coniochaeta sp. 2T2.1, 101 nucleotides. NCBI's taxonomy places the organism in Eukaryota, Fungi, Ascomycota, Sordariomycetes, Coniochaetales, Coniochaetaceae. The record is from the annotation of a GenBank genome assembly.